GCACACCCGCUGCCGCCGGCGGGCGGACACGCGCCCCUGCUCACCGCCAGGCGGCGCCCUGGCGCUGCAGCCGGCCCCGCUCUCUGCUGCCCCCUGGAGAGCGCGGAGCGGUACUGCGACCGACCGGCCCGCGCAUGCGCCGUGCGCCGCGUGUGUCUGGCCGCCCUCCGCCGCUCACGCGCAGCAGUGACCGCACCGGGACAGCAGGGGGCAGCAGAGACCGGGCGGAGGCGCUGCCCGUCCGAGCGCGCGCUGCCGAGCACGGCGGGGGUCUGCAGCCCCCGGCGGCACGGAGCGACGGCAGCGGACAGAGGCACGGUACGCUGACGGUGACCGAGCACCGGGACGGGGCGGCGAGCACAAACGUUACCUCACCCGCCACCGGAACACCGGUGAACUUGCCGGCGCCGAGCAGCCGUGCGCACGCCGGAGCCCGGAUGCUGUACUACGCACGCGGGAGACUGAUGACGGCAGUCCUGGCACCGGCGGACGAAACGUGCGUGCACCGUGCGGGCGUCUACCCUAGCAGGCCGUGAUCGAGAGCGGCAGAGCGCCGCAGGCUGUCGUGCACGUGCGUAGAGCCGGCUGCAGCACCGACGUGCACCCGAACGGGCGGCGCUAAGCGCCGCGACUCCCGGGAGCGCAACGUGAAAAACCGCGCCGCCUGCGUGCGCUGCUGCGCCAAAACCACGUGGUGGAAAGAGCGGACCAAUGGGAUGACGCGCCGCGCUCGCGACGGGACGGUCUGUAGUGGCGGAGCGCAAACGAGCGUGUACGCAUGCGUGCUCCGCGUGCCUGCAGCACCCACCUCCGCCCGCGCGAGGGCACCCACCCCCCCCCCCACGCACCCACACCCCCCCCAGCACGGCACCGCCCACGCGUGACGCACCGCGCUCCGAUCGCGCGAGGGCAGCCGUGAGCGCGUCCUGCUGCGGGGCCGCGGUGACGUUUCGCUCCCGAGAGCUCUGCUCCCCUCACACGUAGGAGCGCCCUCUGCCACCCCCGCGCCUCCUCCUGCCGCCGCUCCUGCGUGGAGUCCCGGGGACGGGCGGGUUCGUUCCACGGGGCUGAGAAACGGGCCCGAGCGCGACGAGACCGCACGGCCCACCUCACAGGCGCUGAGGAAGAGGCGGCGGGCGCAGGCGGUGCCGGUCGGUGGGCAGCGAAGCAGGGCAGCGGUGAGUACGGGGGCUGCAGCGCGCGGGAGUCGGCCACGUACGUCUUCGGGCAGCGUUCGGCGACGGGCAGCGAAGCUCACGGAGCAGAGCUUUAGCACAGAGCCCUCCGCGCGGUAACGUUCGUUCGCUCGGCGAACCUGUGGGAAGGAGCUUAAAGACUCUUGAAACGAUUCUCCCAAGAGAGACCAGCUCUGAGCAUCGCCAAACCGCCCGAAAAACGUGGUGAAGACCUCAAGGCAUGCCGCCGUGGUUCCAAUGAACCGUCAAAAGCUUCAGACACCCAAGAUGACCCCCUACACCAGCCCAAAUGUGGUAGCGAAGUGGUAGGAACUGCCCUGCAGACCCCUGAAGGAGCUCCCCCACACUGAGAACAGAGCUCAAAGGCAGGCAAGCUCUUACUUCGUUGACUUGCAGUUUCCACAGUUUUCCCCCGAAGGCUGGAGCCUCCUGAUCUUCUGGUUUACACUCCUCAUGCACCCGCCCUUGCUGGUGGAACGUGGAGAACUGAAGAAUCCCAGACUUGGAAGAAGUGUGCAACAUGCUCUAGGUGAUCCUAGAGUGAUUCCUGUGCGACCUGCUCGAGGUGAUCCUGCUCUAGCAGGGGGGUUGGACUAGAUGAUCUCCAGAGGUCCCUUCCAACCCUGACCAGUCUGUGAAUCUGUGAAAAACACUACCGAGACGUCAGUGUGAUAUCAAAAUACUUUCCCGUACUAAAAGACUAAACACAGCACUGUGCUAACUGUUAGGAAAACUACUAGGAAAAUUACUGAGAAAAAUACCUCUAUCGUGGCCUAAGGCUUCAGCAAAUCCAGCCACUCUUGCUAAGUAAAGCUAAGCAAACAGCACAAAUCACUCUCUAUUAUAUUCCUAAGCCAUUUUAUUCUAAUUAAAGCCUACUUAUUUACAUUAAACAACUAAUAUCCCUCAACCCAGAGUAACGUUUGCAGGGAGCACACUAGGUUGAGAGAAAUCAUGCCUUGCAGAGAAGCAAGGGACGACUCUCUGCUCCCCCCCGCCUCCGGCAGCCCCCGCUCAUCCAAUAAAACAUGGCUGUGCAGCGGUGCUGGGGGACGCAGAGCUGAUGCAGUCGUGAUGCAGGCAGCAAGGAGCACCCCAGCAUGGUCUGAGCAUCCUGGGAAGCGCAUCAGCCUCCCGCUGGGCCCGUGUUGGAGUCCGAAAGGCUGGAAGCCACCCGGCUGAGCCUCGCUCUUUGCCCUGAUGUAAUCUAACAUCGGCGUGAAGUCAAGGGCUAGCUUGUGCUUGUCUUGCUGCAAUGGGAGAAGGAAAUGCGGGGAGCGACCCGUCCUAUGCUGGGUCUCUGGGUGGUCUGUGCCUCAGCCCCAGCUGUGUCCGGCCACCCAUCCCGUUCUCCUGCAGCACGGGACGGGACCACGUGGGCACCGAGAGGCCGACUGCAAACGGUGAAGGGAGGUGCAGAGACAUCCGGAGUCGUGGGGGGUUGAGGGCAGGAUGGUGGGUGGAUUGAGGUUGCUGUGAGUACUGGAGCAUUGUUUGGGGGUGGACGUGUGCUGGCCCAUAUUGGGAAGGAACCGCAGACCAGAAUGGGAGAAGAAAAGCCGGGGAGGAUCAAAUGGGCCAUCCAGGCUAACCCCAAGCUGCCUGCAGCCAUUGCUGGGCGAUGUCAUCCUCCCCUUUCCCUAGCACCUUCUGGCAGGGUCAUCCUCAAUGGGCGGACAAGAGAAAUCUUGGUGACAAAGAGGAACGUGCUUGCCAUGGCCCUUGUCCACCACAAGCAAGGAAAAAUUUGCUCCAGGCUCCAGCAAGGUUUGACUUUGAGUGCUUUGUGCUCCCGGGCAUAAAGGUGAUCAACUAAACUAUAGUAUGUAGUGAUGUGAAUAUGGCCACUGAAGGAGGAAGGGGAAUCUCGGGAGACGGGAGUGUCUCUUGCUCUCCUGUCUCUCCCCAGGAGCACCUCUUAACAGAGAAAUGCCUAGGCUGGGUUUACACAGGGAUGUCCCAUCCGACCCCUUCCCACCCUCCCCUCCUUCCAGUGUCUCAUCUGUUCUGUGGGCUUCGUUAGCUAAAUUAAGAGGAGUCCCAGUAUCAAUGAACGCACGGUCCCUGACACAGCAGCACAAAACGCUGGUUAGAGUGGGGGUGUUGAUCUCUGUGUUACCUCGAUUCCAUCCACCCCGCUGCCCCCCCAACCAAAGAUGGCAAAGGGUCCGCAGGAACCCAACAGAUCCAGGGAGCGCUCCCUCCUGCCGUCCUUGGUGACCUCAGAGAUGCUGCGUAACCUCGUCUGCAGGACAGCUUGUGCAGGACAACUUUUACUGUGUGCAAACACCACUCCAGGAGCAUCUACACAAGUGAAGAGUAUAAAGCAGAAUCGUUAUCAGAUACAAACAAGAACUGUGAUUUAAUGAGCUAGCAGGAUAACCAGUAAUAUGCUCACUGCCCGUUUUCCCGAUGAAAUGCAAAGAAUUGCCGCUGCCCAGGCAGCUAUCGGUUAGAGAAGGAUUGGCUUCUGCUCCUGGUGUUUCUGAGACGCUAGCUGCCAAUUCCUCAAGUUUUCUUUCAAAAUUAUUGACGUUUUUACAAUUUUAAUGCUUUCUGUGGGUCCCUGUGGGUGGGUAACCACCAUGAACCCUCUUGCUCAAGUCCUUGCGGAACUACUACCCAGCCCCAUGUCAGGCUCACGCAUCUGUGCUUCCACAAUCUCGCACGGCUGUACAGUAUAACCUUCCUCACAGCUCUCUCCAACAACUUAGCAAUUUCCAGAGAAGUCUUGGGUGCAUGUAAUGAAACUAUCAAAACCAGGUCUUGAAUGAGACUGCAGCGAGACGAACCCUGCAGAGUGAGGGAAGAAGAUUACAAAUCUUACUUAAGGGUUAGAGCUCAAGAGUUGUGUCUUUCAGGAGUUUCUAAUUUACUUUAGCAAACCACAGACGCUAAACAGAAGAGUCUGAAUCCUAAAUGAUAAGGGAUGAUGCCUGAGACUACAGCGAUCGAUAAACCGUAAGCUCUCAAUCGCAGCGAUAUCCUGUAAGUCGUAAACUCCCGGCAAUAUACGGCAAGCACUGAAGGCGAAACCAUCAGCCCUGAGCAAUAACCACCACGUGCUGUUACAGCUGGUUUACGACUUUUUUUUUUUUCUUUUCUUUGAAGGGCGGUUGUGCAGACUGGUAGCUUCUGGCUGCAAAACGGUGUUUCUGAGAAGUCUCAUACACCAUUAACGUGUUGAACGUGUUUACAGUUCCAAAGACCUUCUCCCAUCCUGAAUAAAGGCACUGGACAGUGCUUCGGAUGACCAGGCUUAGGAAAAAAGGAGUCGAAACAAUGCCGAAUUACACAAGAGCUCAUAUUAACUCAACGGUUACGUUUAGCAUUCAGAAUCGGCAGACCGAUUGGUCAAAGGCAAGACAACUGACUGACCGAUAGCUAUUGGUGGUGUAAAUGGGUCCCGGGCAGAAUUGGGAGUAUAUUACCACAUCUAAGGGAGAAAAGACAUGAGAACAUUCCUACCUACAGGCAAUUCCUUAGCUGUAGCUAUUGCAAACAACGAUACGUGGUAUACGCAGAGAAGAACACUUAAGGAUACUUUACAUACUAGAAGGCAAUUCUCUUUAGGAGAAAAAAAAAACCCAAAACAUAACAGCUUUUAUGAUUUUAUGUAAGCUGACGCUUUCAACGUGAAGUUGGAACAGAAAAUAUCUGUGCCUUCACACGCAUCUUUGCAAUAGGUGAUAUCCCGAAUUCAAUCCAAUAAAAAAUCAGGUGAGGGGGUUUUUUAUGGGUAAGUAACUGUUGUGAUACCUUGUAGUAUAGGCUUAGGGAAAGCUCACAGUACUCCCGUAUUACCAGAGAUACAAAAAAAGGCAUUGUCAUAAACAUAAAAAUAAAAGCCAAGUUACGACCGAAUAACACGUCUGAUGAAAGACAAAGAAUUAAGAUAGACCCAGUAAUUUUCUGAUGGUUCUUUCCCUCAAAACAAUUACUUCAUUUUUCACAAAGCAGCAUCAUCUAGCCUCAACAGCUAAACUCGACAAGCAUUUUUGCCUCCUGGGGUUUUCCAGGGGUUAUUUUGACUACUGAUAAAGCCUGUAGUGUUAUGAAAUUAAGUUACGUUAAAUGAACAGAGAGCAUUAAUCUGGGCAAAUUACUUCCAACAAUUAGAAAACCAUGGCUCUGGCAAAGUCAGACAAUAGUUUCCAUUAGAGAACAGAAAAAUAAUGCCAUAUAUAACCUCCUUUCUCUUAGACCCUACAGCUCAAGGAAGGUUUUCGUUCUACUGGGAUACAAUUUAGAAAAUAUUUCCUGGAUCUCCGGUAGACUUGAUGCCUAGCCUUCCCUGUUAAGUUUUCCGAUCAUAGGAAAAUUCAGGUUGGAAAGGACCUAAGGAGGUCUCCAGGCUGCUGCUCGAAGCAGGGUCAGGAAUAAGGUCAGACCAAGUUACUCGGAGCUCGUGAAAAGGAAUUCAAGAAAGCAACCUCUAAAUGAAAACCAACGGGGAAAGUAUCCCUUCCCCCUUGAUUCCACCACCACCACUGCUUCAAAGACUGUAGAGAACUAACCUUAAAAGUACAUUUGCAGCAGUCAUUUGUCACCUGUAUUCAUUUAUCAAAUCCCUUGUAAAGGAAGUAAUAUGUAUUAAUGGGAGAACAGAGUUAACGUCUGGGGGAAAAAAAAAAGAAAUGCAGCUUGCUGUUAUUUGUGACAUUCAUUAAUCUAAUGCUGACAAAUUUGAAAAGUGAUAUUUUUUGUAUAAUUAUUUUUGUAAUGUCGCAGGUUUUUUUUUAAGAGAACCUGUUAAGACUGUGUUUAAAAAAGUUGCAAAAUAAAUUCUUAAGGGUGGGGAAAAUGUUAUGUCUUGUUGUAUUGAUUUGCUCAUAGCCAACCUCGGUUCUAAUGAUGGAGCUGAAAGAACCUUUUUUUCUCUCCCUGUCCAUAGCUGAUAAUCUAGUCCCUUUAUAUGGAAGUGAGAGAUGAGAUAUUAGUUAAUUAUAGUGACUUCCUGAAGUAUCGGAGCUCUAUGUUAAUGAGUCAUUACACAGUAUUAUAGUUCCUCUGACAGACAAAAACAAGCAAGCAAACAACCCAAACCCCUGAAAUCAAACAGGAAGGUUCCUACUCCCAUCUUGUACUACCUCCAGUUCUAGUCCGAAAGCAUUCCUUGUCCCCACCCCCUCAAGAUUGAGAAUUUGAAUUAGUCAGCUAGAAAAAUGCCAGUUUUCUUAUUGGAAAUGAAAUAAGACCAUAAGCCUGAGAAGUAGGAAAACAAAGAAUCUUCUUACAAGAGUACAGAGAUUGAUGCCAAGUGCAUGUUUAUGUAUCACUUCAAUUUCUGAAGAAUAUAAAUACCAGCUUACCAUAUAUUAGUCCCGUCACUUAAUCGAAGUUAUUUGCUUUCCAUCUGCACAGGUUGAGCUGUAUAUUCUAGAAUACAAAAGUUACUCUAUUGUGUGGUUUCAGCAGGCCGAUUCCCUGCUG
This is a long non-coding RNA of Grus americana (Whooping crane), 6629 nucleotides long. RefSeq lists it as uncharacterized. The transcript is spliced from 3 exons. NCBI's taxonomy places the organism in Eukaryota, Metazoa, Chordata, Aves, Gruiformes, Gruidae. The record is from RefSeq and is a predicted model, not a curated record.